Molecule: ribosomal RNA, 786 nt
Filed under: Triticum aestivum (bread wheat)
Lineage: Eukaryota; Viridiplantae; Streptophyta; Magnoliopsida; Poales; Poaceae
Description: partial small subunit ribosomal RNA
Source: RNAcentral
AUGCCGGCCAGCAGCCACCCGUCGUCGCAGGCGUCCCCGCUGGAGGACGGCAACCUGCUACGCGAGAUCCUGCUCCGGCUUCCCCCCGAUCCCUCCUCGCUCCCGCGCGCAUCCCUCGCUUGCACGCGCUGGCGCGACCACGUCGCCGACCCAGGAUUCCGCCGCCGCUUCCGCCUCCACCACCGCCGCAACCCUCCUCUCCUCGGCUUCUUCGACGGGUGCGGAAGCCUGGACUUCCUGCCGACGCUGGACGCCCCCGAUCGCGUCGCGCCCGAGCGCUUCUCCUUGAAGCGCGACGAGGGCGACGGCGUUCGCAGGCCGCUCGGAUGCCGCCACGGACUGAUGCUCCUCUUAGUCCCGAAGCCUCUCCGGGUAAUCGUGUGGGACCCCGUCACCGGCGACCAGCACCGCCUCGAUGUUCCGCCAGGGCUCACGACGAAUGAGUGCUAUGAGAGCGUGAUCAACGGGGCGGUGCUCCGCGCUGCCGCCGGAGACGCCGAGCACUUCAAGGUGGUCAUGGUGGCGGCAGACGGCGACGGGGUAGAAAACCGACGAGCAGUCGCCUGCGUCUACUCGUCGGAGACCGGCGCAUGGGGAGGGUUCAUCACAGCACCCAUUCCAUACGAUGCUGAUGCUCAUGCGAGCGGUUUAUUUUGGAGGUUUUCCACCAGCAUUUACAUUGAUCAUGCUGUGUUGGCUGGAGACUCCCUUUACUGGCAGCUUAUUGGGAAUUUCGAAGGAGAGGCAGAGCCUGUCUGUAAUGCCGGUGCCGGUGCCUAUCUAUAG